Long non-coding RNA from Nasonia vitripennis (jewel wasp), 5575 nucleotides. RefSeq lists it as uncharacterized. The transcript has 6 exons. Lineage: Eukaryota; Metazoa; Arthropoda; Insecta; Hymenoptera; Pteromalidae. The record is from RefSeq and is a predicted model, not a curated record.
UUGUAAGAAAUGAAUUUUGCAUCUUUGCAAAUAAAGUCGUUAAAAAAUUGCAAGUACCCGAGGAUAAGUAAUAGGGGCAAGCUUUUUGUUCUUUAGUCUCUCAAUAGUUUCCUUGUCUUCACGCAAAUCAAGCUUCGUACCAACCAAAAUUAUUGGUUGGUACGAACUGUUUAUUGUUAAGAGAAGGAGCACUGUAAUCCCAACGCCUCUAAAGCGAUUCCACUAAAAACCAAAGUAACAAAUUUAGUCGCAAUGUAUAAAUGUAUACAGCUAGGAUUCAUUUUUGUUCUAUAAUCAACUUACCAAGAAUCUGUAGGGUCACUACCCAUGGCUACUACAUCUUCCUCAUUCGUAUACUUUCAUUAGCAAUACUAGAUUCAGACACCGGUUCAUAAUUGUUAAUUGCUGCAUUGACUGAUCUCUUUUAAUAUUGCAUAUAUUUUAUUACGUAUACACAGUAUAUGAGGUAUAAUAAACCUGUAAAAUAGUCCAUGGGAUAACUACAAAAUAAUGGUCUACCGAAAGCUUCAGAACGAGAAUCUCUGAUUUCUACGACAAACUCCAAGUUAGAGAGAAAACGUUUGUUUCAAUAACAAUGUCAGAGCAUUUUGCCGAUCAGUAGAAGUGUCCAUUGACCAUUAACAGUUCACAAAGUUUUUCAGCUUCUUUCACACACACUUUAAUCCUGACUGAAUAGACCUGAAAAAAAGAAUCACCACAUGUAAAAGCACAUUACUCUUGUACUCAAAAGUUUAAUACUUGAAGGCAAAUCUUACUUCUGAAAGAAGCUUUUUAUGUUCAAUGGGCUUCUAUUCCAUUUGUUCACAGUAUACAUCUGAAUCUUCAAUGUUGUCUAAAAGGCUUUUAUUAAACAUUCAUGUGCGUUUAUUCUUUUACUUCUAUUUAUUUCUAAGAGUCCACUGCUUCCAGCAUAGUUUUCUACGCAAUAUAACCUUUGUUGAGCAUUUUGAUAUGAAGAAGGGUUAUUAUUUUCUGAGUUCCAUCUUUUUCUUAACUUGACCAAACGUUCAUUUGCAGCGCAUCUUGAAUUUGUACAUUUUCUAGCACUACCCAUGGCUGCUACAUCUUCCUCAUUCGUACUUUCAUAAGCGAUACUAGAUUCAGACACUGGUUCGCAAUUCUUCAUUGCUGCAUUGACUGAUCUCAUUAGAGAGCUAUUUUUAAUUUGUUGAACUUCAGGAAUCUUAGGCCACUUUUUUGCUGGUGUUUGUGCUGCAGUUUUACGAGAUGGUGAGGGACUUCGAACCAAGGGCACUGCUGCAGCUUUUAUCUUUGACCCUAUGCUGGAGUCACUGUCAGAUCCAUCUAUAAUGGUGCUGCAUUUGCUUACAUCUGAGUCGGUAGAGGCAACAAAACUAGCUCCUUUUGUGUUUAGGUAUGGAAGGUGCAGAAGACAAUGAAAGCACUUUAGAUGCUCCAGAGGUUUGAUUUUGUUUUUGAUUCCGAGUUUUUGGUCCUUUCUUCUUAGCUUCUAGUGCAGCUUUCCGUUCAGCCAUGUCUUCUCUACAGAGGCAUUGCAGGUGUGUCAUUUUUCACUUCUUUUGCUUCUGCUGCUGCAGCUUUUGGUCCUUUUGCUUUCAACAAUUUGUCAGCAUUAGUGUUUGCCUCGUCAUCAGGAUAAUCUUUCCUGUCAAUAUCCGCUUUCCUUUUCCUGCCUUUCUGUGCCUUUGGAUCCUAAAAUGAAGACAUUAUUCAAAAAACUAAUCAAAUACCAAAAUAGAAAAUUGAAUUACAAUGCACAGUCAAUGUCUUACCUUGUUCACUUUUCAGCUGACCAUCUUGCUUCGCUUGUGUUGUCGUUGAAAUAAAACUUAAACUUGAGCAGGCUCUCUAUCACACACUGAACUGCAUCUGCAGAUCUCCAAGUUACUGGGCGACAGCAUAGGCCAGGCUACUGCUCAGAUGAAUGUCGCUGCCCUCCAGAAGAUGCUGGGUAUCGAGAAGACCGACGAGAAGAAGAAUCUCCGUAACGACGCGUCCGCUUCUUCCCCUGGUUCUCCCCCAGACUUCGUAGGCAGAGCAUGCCUCAAUCCCGACGGCAAGUCCAAGGAGCCCGAGGAGCCGUUUCGUGCCAGACCGCUCCGUUGUUGCCUACACAGCUGACUCGUAUCCCUGCAAAGUUAAUCCAGUAAUAGUCAAUGGACAGCGGCGUAGGUAGAGAACUGAUAAAGAAAACCGGGACAGCGACGUUGGAGGCCUCACUCUCUCCCACAGCCUUAUCACGAAAAUGUAGCGACUAAGUAAAACACGACGAUAGCGGCACGAAAAGCCUAUACCUACUUACGCUACUGGCCCUGUAACGUCUGUCCCCACGAGCGAAUGUACUCAAAGCCAACAAAGACAGAGAGAAAAAACAUUCUGCAACUGCAUGGUGUCGAGUGAGGUUAACCGCUCUCUGCAGUGGUCUAUUCACACCAUGCUGUCGUCUGCACGUGCACCAGCUGCGGUGGCGGCCAUGUUACUUGUAUGACGUCACUUCAGUAGGUCAUUCCACCUCUUCGCUAGCAGCGACGCUGCACGCAUAUAUACCUAUAUAUAUGCGUGCGUAUAUGCGCCAGCGCCGUGGCGAGCGUCACAUACGGCAAAAUUCCCGCGAAUGGGGGAGAGAGCUUUCGCCGCCCGUGAGCGGGCGCAAUUUUUCGAAAAACAAGUGCGCAUCGAGCGGCGAAGUAGCGUGGAUCGCCGAGACGCGAGCUCCGAAAGAGUCUCACUUGGUCUGCCGGCAGCGGAUCACUUCUGUCCUCCGUCCUUUUCGUUGUGCUAACUGUCGAGUAACGAGUCGAAGAAAUGGCAUCUACUUCCUCAAUCAUUGGCUGUAAGUAUCUGAUUCUUUAUUUAAAAUGCAGAGUGACUCUACCUCGUACUCCUCUUUCUUUUUUUAACAAUGUGUGCUACAUUUCCCUUUUUUUUAUUUUUCAGAUUACAAGCUGCCCACACCAACCAUUGACGACAUGAGCGUUUGGAAGUCUCCGAGAGCUGUUCACUCCAGUUCGCCCAGCUAGCGAAGUCACACACACACACACACACUACUUUUACCUUGUUGAUUGCUUUUAAGUUAGUUUGUAAUUAGUUUUAAUAAAGGCGCUUUUAUUGAGAACGGACAGUCAUUUCGAGAACUGGUGAAGCGACAACUUUUCUCUCCUCCGGCAUUUUAAUCACCUUCCAAAGAUCGUCAUCGCAGAACAACAUGGCCGCCACCGCUGCGGUUGCACGUGCAGACGACUGCAUGGUGUGCAGCAGACAUACAGCACAUUGGCUCAGCGCGCUUAUCGUUUGAAGGUUUAUAAGUACGACGCAUGUGUGCUGCAGCUGCAUUCAACACUAGAACUCCUACACUUCAAAAUAAGUGAUAAUUCACAGUCUGAAGAGUUUGAGGCUCGUACGACUUGCCGUCGGGAGUGAGGCAUUUUCUGCCUGCGAAGUCUGAGUGAGAACCAGGGGAGCAAUUUGCGAUGUCAGCGGACGCGGUGAUUAGUGAUAAGGAGAUUCUUGUUAUCGUCGUCGGUCUUCUCGAUACCCAGCCUCUUCUGGAGCUCAGCAACGUCCACCUGAGCAGUAGCCUGGCUCAUGCUGUCGCCCUGCAGUUCCUUGGAGAUCUGCAGAUGCAGUUUAGUGUUUAGUGUUUAAUAGAGAGCCUGCUCGUGAAGUUUUAUUUGCAUGAAGCCAGCUGGUCAGGACCAAAAGCUGCAGCAGCAGAAGCUAAAGAAGUGAAAAAUGACACACCUGCAAUGCGUCGUACAGAGAAAAAAUGCCAGGACACCGAAGAAGAUCGCCCAAAACCGUUUGAGAUCACAAUCUGAGACCAUGUUGUAAAACGAAGAGCAGAGUGCAUUGUAGUCGUUGGCGUCUAAGUUAAUCAACAAGAAUGCAGCAAAUUGUAGGCUUUCCGGGGACAAAACUCCUGUUACUCAUCUCUGCACCCUCAAAACUGCAAGUUCUGGUGCUAGCUCGGCGCACAAACUUGGAAAGCGCUUUUUCAGUGACAAUGCUUUGCCACAAACUCCAGACUACAUCAAUUCGGUGCAUCUGUAGAUACCAAGAGCAAAGACUGACAAUGGAAUUGAUGAACAAAGUGUAAUAGAAGGACAGAGUAGUAGUUUAACUGUGGAAGUUAGAUUAAGGCCAUUAACUUUUAUGGAAUAAACUGAACCAAAGAUAAUGUCUAUUGUCGAAGUUACUGGUUAAAACAUAGUAGUUGACUGUGAUACGUCCCAACAUACUUUUAUGCAUGAUCAUUGUUUCAUUUCUCACAAUGAUCAUCUGAAGCCUGAUCAUGCCAGUCAAGAAUCAGUAUUCAAUAGUUGGAUUACGUUCAACAAAAAUAGGAGAACAAUGUGAAGCCAUUGUGAGAUUUCCUAGACUGUUUGAAAACUAUCCGUUUCCGAUAUUGAUAAAUUCGUCUCUACUGAAACUAGCAGAUGUUUUUCGCGUGAAUGUCAUGUUUCACCAUGUCUUGGCAGCAAGGUCAUCCAGUCAAGCAAAAUUAGAUUCUCUGGACAUGAUAAGAUACUGCAUACAAGUUGAAGCAGCUAUUUAUGCUGCUCAAAUGUUCGCUGCCCAAUCAAAGUUGUUUGCAAUUUUUAUGUGCAGUAAAAUUUCUGACAUGAUGAGAGGUCAAGCUACUCGAGCAUCAAUGAAAUUACAACUCAUACCUACCUUACAAUACAUGCAUCAUGAUAUUUCUACUGCAUCAAUGGCAAAUGAACUGUGUAUGGAAUUGCUUGAAAGCUAUCCUGCUGAUGAAUUUGUACGAGUAACAUUGAGUGCUUCAACUACCUUGGCUUCUGCUAUUUUUAUUAAUGUUACCAGCACAAGUAACAUUACUUUUACGUUACUUACAUGAAGACCCUAGAUCAUCGAUAAAAACACAUGCUCUACAACUUUUACGCAGUCUCGCUAAAAAGGGGCUCAUCUAUGGCUACAAGGAGCAUUGGAGCAGUUGAUUGAUAGUGCAACUAGUCUCUUACAAGAUAGUGCUGGAAAUAAAAUUUGCUGAUUAGAUCUUUGAAUGUUAUUGAGGUAUUAUUAAAUUGAGGACUUCAAAAGCAUGUUAUUCUCCAAAUCCUAUUGUUGCUGUUAAAGCUAUUACUAUUUGGGCGAGAAUAGCUUGUUAUUGUUAUAUAUCAGGAGAUCCUAAGCAAGAGGAUCCUUGUUUCACAUGUAGAGCCCGUGUACGCUGCUCUUGUGCGAUCCGGGGGCUAUUCAAAGGCAGCCGUUCUCACGCGUUGCGUCGUCCAGAGCCACCCAAAAACCCGCUAGUUUCACCAGGUCAGCGGGAUUCAAUUUACCGUCGGCUAUUUACCAUUGGCUAUUCACAGUCGGUAAAUCGCAUUCGGGUGGCGCAUGCGCACUGUUAUGCCCAGUUAACACGCUACCGCCACUGGCGCGAAAAUGGGGGGCACUUCCGGAAAUACAAAGUUUCAUUUAACGGUGUGUGUACAUCGUUUAACAUACCAGCUGCAGUAUCACCAUCUUCCUUGAUGAUCUCGAAAAAAUUUCGAUACAUUUUAAAUACUAUUACACUGUAAUAAAAACAUUUUAUUUACAUAUAUAC